This is a long non-coding RNA of Piliocolobus tephrosceles (Ugandan red Colobus), 519 nucleotides long. RefSeq lists it as uncharacterized. The record is from RefSeq and is a predicted model, not a curated record. The transcript has 2 exons. NCBI's taxonomy places the organism in Eukaryota, Metazoa, Chordata, Mammalia, Primates, Cercopithecidae.
UUGCAUGCCGGGAGACAAAAAUGUCUCAGGAAGCUUUGAGAGGCGCGAUUUUGGAAGCCGGGCGCUGACGAGCUUCCGCCUUUGGUGUGAUCGCGGACCUAGAAACUCGGUCCGCCCCAUACAGGUGUACGUAGAAGUCGGAUUUGGAGAAUGCGGAAGCGUGUGCCAGUCAAGGUUAGGCUCCAGGUCAUAAAAGUCACUGAGGCUUCCUCCUUGCUCCCCCCUGGAUUGCUUGCUCCGGAGGAAGUCAGCUGCCAUGUCAUGAGGACACUCAAGCAGCCCUGUGGAGAGGUUCAUGUGGCAAGGAACUGAGGCCUCCAAUCAAUAGCCAUGGGAAUGAAAUUUCCCAAAAGCAGAUCCUCUAGCCCAGUCAAGCCUUCAUGUGACUGCAGUCCUGGCCAAUCAUCUUGACUGGAGCCUCAUAAGAGACCCUUAGUCAGAACUACCUGGGUAAGACCCUCCCAAAUUCCUGACACUCAGAAAUUGUGUAAUAAAUACUUGCUAUGUUAAGCUACUAAA